ACUGCUAUCGGGGUCCGACUAAGCCAUGCGAGUCAAGGGACUCUUUUGAGUACCGGCGAACGGCUCAGUAACACGUGGCUAACCUACCCUCGGGUGGGGGAUAACCUCGGGAAACUGAGGCUAAUACCCCAUAGGGGAAGAGGUCUGGAACGAUCCUUCCUCGAAAGCAUUAGCGCCCGAGGAUGGGGCUGCGGCGGAUUAGGUAGUUGGUGGGGUAACGGCCCACCAAGCCUACGAUCCGUACGGGCCCUGAGAGGGGGAGCCCGGAGAUGGACACUGAGACACGGGUCCGGGCCCUACGGGGCGCAGCAGGCGCGAAACCUCCGCAAUGUGCGAAAGCGCGACGGGGGGACCCCGAGUGCUCAUGCUCUGCAUGAGCAUUUCCGGAGUGUAAACAGCUUCGGG
RNAcentral lists this ribosomal RNA (405 nucleotides) under uncultured prokaryote. Its description in RNAcentral is "bacterial SSU rRNA". It matches the Rfam family "Archaeal small subunit ribosomal RNA", at positions 26 to 433 of the family's 1478-position model. The record is from RNAcentral.